Molecule: ribosomal RNA, 505 nt
Filed under: uncultured bacterium
Lineage: Bacteria
Description: partial 16S ribosomal RNA
Rfam family: Bacterial small subunit ribosomal RNA
Source: RNAcentral
GACGAACGCUGGCGGCGUGCCUAAUACAUGCAAGUCGAACGCACAGUUUAUACCGUAGCUUGCUACACGAUAGACUGUGAGGUGCGAAAGGGGGAGUUACCCGGAGCUAACCUGCCUGGUAACGUGAGGUAACUAUGGCUAACGAUAGCUAAUACCGCCUGAUAUUGAUUAUUGCAUGAUAAUUGACUGAAGGAGGCGAUUGACUCACUACCAGACGGACCUGCGGUGGAUUAGCUAGUAGGCGAGGUAACGGCGCACCUAGGCGACGAUACGGAGACGACCGGAGAGGGCGGUCGGCCACCCUGGGAGUGAGACCCGGCCCAGUCUCCUACGGGAGGCAGCCGUAGGGCAUCUUCGGCCAUGGGCGGAAGUCUGACCGCGCAACGCCGAGGGAGUGAAGAAGGGUUUCGGAUCGGAAAGCUCUGUUGUAAGGGAAGAACGGGUGUGAGAGUGGAACGUUCACACUGUGACGGUAUCUUAUCAGAAAGGGACGGCUAACUACGUG